GUUCAAUCACAACAAUUAUGUUCAAAAUUCAAAUUGACAAUAGUUUGCAACUUGACAAGGCAAGUUUUACAAUAUUCCUAAAUGCCUUCAUAACCCAUAUGACAAUGUCAUGCACUAGCUAGGUGUUUAUUAAUGACAUCAAAUAAAAAAAUAAAAAGAGAAGAGAGAGGGGGAAAAACUUGGGAGCAAUAUUUAUCAUCUCAAAGUUUCUGAAAAGUGCUCAGUCCUUUUUUUUAAUCAAUUAGUGUUGAAUGGGUUUUUAUUGGUCAUUUAAUACUGCUGUGGCAGCAACUAGCAACAAAGAAGGAACAUGGCCUUCUACGAGAAGAAAUUGUGAAUUCCAAAUUAUUGUUAAAACUUUAAAGAAGAAGAAAAAUU
Molecule: unclassified non-coding RNA, 378 nt
Filed under: Hevea brasiliensis (rubber tree)
Lineage: Eukaryota; Viridiplantae; Streptophyta; Magnoliopsida; Malpighiales; Euphorbiaceae
Source: RNAcentral